RNAcentral lists this ribosomal RNA (517 nucleotides) under Clonostachys pseudochroleuca. RNAcentral's name for it is "eukaryotic LSU rRNA". The stretch from base 130 to 283 matches the Rfam family "5.8S ribosomal RNA". The record is from RNAcentral. Lineage: Eukaryota; Fungi; Ascomycota; Sordariomycetes; Hypocreales; Bionectriaceae.
AACAUACCUACUGUUGCUUCGGCGGGAUUGCCCCGGGCGCCUCGUGUGCCCCGGAUCAGGCGCCCGCCUAGGAAACUUAACUCUUGUUUUAUUUUGGAAUCUUCUGAGUAGUUUUUACAAAUAAAUAAAAACUUUCAACAACGGAUCUCUUGGUUCUGGCAUCGAUGAAGAACGCAGCGAAAUGCGAUAAGUAAUGUGAAUUGCAGAAUUCAGUGAAUCAUCGAAUCUUUGAACGCACAUUGCGCCCGCCAGUAUUCUGGCGGGCAUGCCUGUCUGAGCGUCAUUUCAACCCUCAUGCCCCUAGGGCGUGGUGUUGGGGAUCGGCCAAAGCCCGCGAGGGACGGCCGGCCCCUAAAUCUAGUGGCGGACCCGUCGUGGCCUCCUCUGCGAAGUAGUGAUAUUCCGCAUCGGAGAGCGAUGAGCCCCUGCCGUUAAACCCCCAACUUUCCAAGGUUGACCUCAGAUCAGGUAGGAAUACCCGCUGAACUUAAGCAUAUCGAUAAGGCGGAGGACAACC